RNAcentral lists this ribosomal RNA (237 nucleotides) under uncultured bacterium. Its description in RNAcentral is "partial 16S ribosomal RNA". It matches the Rfam family "Bacterial small subunit ribosomal RNA", at positions 96 to 334 of the family's 1533-position model. The record is from RNAcentral.
CGGCGGACGGGUGAGUAACGCGUGGGUAACCUGCCUCAUACAGGGGGAUAACAGUUAGAAAUGCUGCUAAUACCGCAUAAGACCACAGCACCGCAUGGUGCAGGGGUAAAAACUCCGGUGGUAUGAGAUGGACCCGCGUCUGAUUAGGUAGUUGGUGGGGUAACGGCCUACCAAGCCGACGAUCAGUAGCCGACCUGAGAGGGUGACCGGCCACAUUGGGACUGAGACACGGCCCAA